Molecule: long non-coding RNA, 313 nt
Organism: Coffea arabica (coffee)
Lineage: Eukaryota; Viridiplantae; Streptophyta; Magnoliopsida; Gentianales; Rubiaceae
Source: RefSeq, a predicted model, not a curated record
UCUGAUCUGAAACCUGAAGAAUAAUGGGAAGAGCCCCUUGCUGUGAGAAAGUGGGCAUAAAGAGAGGGAGGUGGACGGCUGAAGAGAUGAAAUCUUGACCAAGUACAUUCAAGCCAACGGAGAAGGUUCCUGGAGGUCACUACCAAAGAACGCAGGACUACUUAGAUGUGGGAAGAGUUGCAGAUUGAGAUGGAUCAACUACUUGAGGUCUGACUUGAAGCCACACCCUUGGAUCAACUAAUUUAUUUAUAAUCUGUAUAAUCUCAAUAUAGUAGUUUAUAUGCAAGAGAGCAUGAAAAGAAAUUAUACUGAU